CACACAUAUAUAUAUGCAUUUGAGAGUUUCUGUUCAGGAACUGAAUGGCUACAUUUUUUGUCGGUUCUAGAACUAUUCUGUAUCAUCAACAUGGACUGAGAAGAAUGUGACCAGAAAGCCACCAUAAGAGAUUCUCUCCUCCUAGAAUGCCUGUAAAAGACACUCUUUGACCAUGAAUGUGUGCCCUUGCCAGGGGCCCAUGCUGUCCAC
Non-coding RNA from Pelobates cultripes (western spadefoot toad), 210 nucleotides. Lineage: Eukaryota; Metazoa; Chordata; Amphibia; Anura; Pelobatidae. The record is from the annotation of a GenBank genome assembly.